CAGCUUCGGCAGCACAUGUACUAAAAUUGGAACGAUACAGAGAAGAUUAGCAUGGCCCCUGUGCAAGGAUGACGCACAUUUGUGAAGCAUUCCAUAGUUAA
This 101-nucleotide small nuclear RNA is filed under the name Alligator mississippiensis (American alligator). The record is from RNAcentral. Lineage: Eukaryota; Metazoa; Chordata; Crocodylia; Alligatoridae.